UGGCAUUGAACGGCGUGUCCGAUUAAUGCAUUUUUUGUCCCAAUUGCCCUUCGUCGUGCUGCCAUUUUGAAAUUGAACACAACUCAUACAAAAACCCUCGUCUCACAACAAAGGCAUUGUAGAAGAAGUGGUUGCGUAUAAUCCAGCGACGGAAUUCUAGUCAAAGAGAACCAAUUGCUGCCGCACCAGCAAGCUAAUGUCGACCUCAACUAACGAAGUUGACGUGAUACCCGAGUGUCUUUGUGGUGGUGGGAAGAUGAAUUUAUUUUGUGCUGGGAAGGAUGCCAUACACAGUGGACGAUACUUCUACAAAUGUCCUACCAAUGAAAAACAUUUGCGGUCAUUUUUAUGGUGUGACGGCUAUCAUAGUAAGAUUGGAGAUGACAAGCAACCAAAUUUUGUUUUGAAUCAAGAGUAUCGUCCAGCUAAAACAGUAAGAAACAAUGAUGCAGAGAAAAAAAAAGGCUAUCUCACAAAGGACACGGUUGUGGAUUUUGUGGCCGAUGUCAAGCUGAAUGGAGGAUGAACUAUGUGUUGGUUUUCAUGGGUGUAGUGUUGUUGUUGCUAGGAGUUAUUUUAGGGAAAUUGUUCUAGUUACCUAUUUUACUUUGUUGCAAUCUGGAUCAUUAGCUUAAUUUUAAUUUUCAGUUUGUGUGAGACUAUAUAGAUCUAUUUUGUGAUGUACUCCAUGAUAUCUAUGCAAUGAACUAUGGCAACAA
Molecule: non-coding RNA, 719 nt
Organism: Salvia hispanica
Lineage: Eukaryota; Viridiplantae; Streptophyta; Magnoliopsida; Lamiales; Lamiaceae
Source: RefSeq, a predicted model, not a curated record